GAUGAACGCUGACAGAAUGCUUAACACAUGCAAGUCUACUUGAAUUUGGGUUUUUUAACUUAGAUUUGGGUGGCGGACGGGUGAGUAACGCGUAAAGAACUUGCCUCACAGCUAGGGACAACAUUUGGAAACGAAUGCUAAUACCUGAUAUUAUGAUUAUAAGGCAUCUUAGACUUAUGAAAGCUAUAUGCGCUGUGAGAGAGCUUUGCGUCCCAUUAGCUAGUUGGAGAGGUAACGGCUCACCAAGGCGAUGAUGGGUAGCCGGCCUGAGAGGGUGAACGGCCACACGGGGACUGAGAGACGGCCCUUACUCCCACGGGCGGCAGCAGUGAGGAAUAAUGGACAAUGGACCAAGAGUCUGAUCAAGCAAUUCUGUGUGGACGAUGACGUUUUUCGGAAUGUAAAGUGCUUUCAGUUGGGAAGAAAAAAAUGACGGUACCAACAGAAGAAGUGACGGCUAAAUACGUG
This 468-nucleotide ribosomal RNA is filed under the name uncultured bacterium. Its description in RNAcentral is "partial 16S ribosomal RNA". It matches the Rfam family "Bacterial small subunit ribosomal RNA", at positions 28 to 507 of the family's 1533-position model. The record is from RNAcentral.